GACGGUUAGGUCCUUACAGGUGUAUUAGCUCGCUAGCUUCUUCAGAACUGAAUGGAAAAUGUCGGACUGGGAGGAGGACGGCGACGAGAACGCAGCUAAACUGACUCCGACUAAAUGGAAGCCUCCGACUGACGUUCCUCAAAAUGGAAAUGUUUCGUUCGGUGUACGCAAUAGAAAUAAAUUCGGAGCUCGGCAGCAGAGUGGAGAGGACAAUGGUGGCGGGAGACUUGACUGCCAAAGUGGGCUAAAUGAAGGCCGCUUUUUUAACCGGAGCUCUGAGCGACGAAACACUGGACGGCGUUUUUUGGGGGCUGACAAGUCAGACUCUGCCGUCACUAUCACCGUGGAAAAUGGCAUGGUGGGGAGAAUCAUCGGCCGUGGAGGAGCUAAAAUCCGUGAACUAGAGGAGAAUACUGGUGCAAGUAUAAAGAUCAAUAAGGGAGAGUAUGAGGGCCAGGUGGUCAUCCUUGGACCUCCUGUUGCCCAGCAGAAAGCCAAAGAGAUGAUAGAAGAGCUGGUGGCAGACAGCAACUCUCGAUUCCACAGUGCUUCCUCAAGAGGAGGAGGCUAUGCAAGAGGAGGGGCUGGAGGCGAAAGGGCCGGUUCCGUCUGGUCCAGUUCACAAUUAGAGGCUUCGCAUGUUGCCCCGCCACGUGUGUCCAUAGACUGGAGCAGCAUUCGAGAGAACAAGCAGAAGUAUGAAGAGUUGAAGUGGAAAGACUUGCCACCCAUGAAGAAAAAAUUUUAUGCAGAGGCUGAGAGCGUUUCCCUCCUCACAUCAGAAGAAGUUCGUGACUGGAGGAAGGAGAACAACAAUAUUUUUGUGGAUGACCUAAUAGACAACGGGAAGAAGCGCCCCAUCCCCAAUCCCUGUCGGACCUUUCUGGAAGCCUUUGAACUUUAUCCAGAGAUCAUGGAGAACAUCGAACGGGUUGGCUUCGUCAAGCCAACCCCCAUUCAGUCUCAGGCGUGGCCGGUGCUGCUGAGCGGAGAGGACCUGAUCGCCAUCGCUCAGACGGGAACAGGGAAGACAUUGGCCUACCUGCUCCCGGGAUUUAUCCACAUGGAUGGACAGCCCGUUCCUCGCUGUGAGCGGGAGGGCCCAGGCAUGUUGGUGCUGACCCCCACCAGAGAGCUGGCCCUACAAAUUGAAGAGGAGUGCAGCAAGUAUCGUUACAAAGGCUACAAGAGCAUCUGCAUCUACGGCGGCGGGGACAGGAGGGGUCAAAUCAAUCAGGUGAAAGGCGGCGUGGACAUUGUGAUUGCCACGCCAGGACGACUAAACGAUCUACAAAUGAAUGAGCUCAUCAGUCUUCACUCCAUCACCUACUUGGUUCUAGAUGAAGCAGACCGUAUGCUUGACAUGGGCUUCGAACCCCAAAUUAUGAAGAUUCUGCUUGACAUCCGUCCUGACCGACAAACUGUAAUGACCAGUGCUACCUGGCCUACCGGUGUGAGACGUCUGGCCAAAUCUUACCUCAAAAAUCCCAUGAUGGUAUAUGUUGGUACCUUGGACUUGGCUGCUGUAGAUACUGUGCAGCAGACGGUGCUGGUUGUCCAUGAAGAAGACAAAAAGUCCUACCUUUUUGGCUUCAUCAGAAACAUGCUGCCCGAGGAUAAAGUCCUAGUCUUUGUUGGCAAGAAGAUCGUGUGUGAUGACUUGUCCAGUGACAUAUGUCUAAAUGGUCUGGCUGUGCAAAGUCUCCAUGGCGACCGUGAGCAGUGGGAUCGGGAGGAGGCACUCAAGGACUUUAAAGAGGGUCGAGUUCGUAUCCUGGUAGCAACAGACUUGGCAUCCCGAGGGUUGGAUGUCCAUGACAUCACACAUGUGUUCAACUUUGACUUUCCGCGAAACAUUGAAGAGUAUGUGCACCGCGUGGGUCGUACCGGACGAGCAGGACGCUCUGGAGCUGCUGUUACCUUGGUAACAAGAGACGACUGGAGGAUGGCACCUGAGCUGAUUCCCAUCCUGGAGCGGUCAGGGCAGGACAUCCCGGUGGAACUGAUCCAAAUGGCAGACAGAUAUGAGAAGCACAAGAGGGAGAAGGAGAUGUACAGUCCAAAGGAUGGAGGUGGUAGAGAUGGACGACGAGGAGGCAGGGAUGGAGGACGAGGUGGCAGAGACUCCCGCCAAAAUUGGAGAUUCUAACAGUCUUCCUCUUCACAGUUUUGUAUGGACGAGAGUGAGUGUUCCAAACAAGUCUUCAAUGAAGAACGUGACAGAAGCUGAAGACUGACCUUGUAAUUUGUGUUUAGUUUGCACGUUAUCUUUGUCUAUAUGACUGACAAACUCAUUUAGUUAGCGACCAUUAUGUUGGCAUUCAGUCUGUUGUAGCUGCACCAGUUCCCGUUUGUAUAUAUUUUAGUUUACAUCCCAUAUUAUUCUGUUUAAUAAAGACACAUUUUAUUACUUGCA
This is a non-coding RNA of Doryrhamphus excisus (bluestripe pipefish), 2416 nucleotides long. The record is from RefSeq and is a predicted model, not a curated record. Lineage: Eukaryota; Metazoa; Chordata; Actinopteri; Syngnathiformes; Syngnathidae.